UCUUAGAUCUUCCAAAACGUCUGCUUUGAGCUUAUUAAGUUCUUCUGCCAGAUGCUUCAACAUAUUAAGAGAGCAGAAUAUCUGGGCUACAUGGUAACUACACUGGAAGAACCACCUGGCUGUUUCCAAAGCUCAUGCAUAAUUUUAUGUUUCCACCAGUAGAGGGUUCUGAUUUGUCCACAUCCUCAACAAGUCUUGGACCCCUCAUACUGGCCAUUCUGAUGGCUGCAAAGCAAUAUCUCCCAUGGUUUUGAUUGGCAUUUUGCUGUUCAUUAAAAUUUAAGCAUGUUUUUGUUUGAA
Long non-coding RNA from Mastomys coucha (southern multimammate mouse), 300 nucleotides. RefSeq lists it as uncharacterized. The record is from RefSeq and is a predicted model, not a curated record. Lineage: Eukaryota; Metazoa; Chordata; Mammalia; Rodentia; Muridae. The transcript has 2 exons.